Molecule: unclassified non-coding RNA, 303 nt
Filed under: Hevea brasiliensis (rubber tree)
Lineage: Eukaryota; Viridiplantae; Streptophyta; Magnoliopsida; Malpighiales; Euphorbiaceae
Source: RNAcentral
ACCAACUCACACUUCAGAUUUCAUUUGCAACCAAAGCCCAUCUUUCUCCACUUCAACUUCUUCAUCACCUACUCUUCUUCCUAUCACCACCACGCACACAGAUUUGUAUUUGCAGUAAUCCAUGGCCCCAGUAGCAGCAGCAGAGAUAAAGCCCAGAGAUGUUUGCAUUGUUGGUGUUGCCCGCACACCAAUGGGUGGAUUUCUUGGUUUACUAUCUACUUUACCUGCCACCAAGCUGGGAUCUAUAGCUAUUGAAGCUGCUCUUAAAAGGGCCAAUGUUGAUCCAUCACUUGUACAAGAAGU